AUGGGAAGGCUUCUUCCUCCCCUGUCCCGAUGCCAUGAACGACGCAGCUCCACCACCAGACCAUGGAGACGGAGCUCCUUCUCCCGCAUCACUCAUGGAGCCUCCCUCUCAGCGCCCGGAGCCCUAGAGAGAAUUCAAGGCCAUGGCCGGAGAGAGGAGCUGCUCCUAGUACAGGACGCCAUGGAAGGUUCUCCUUUCUUGUUCUGCCUUUUUAAUUUUUCUGUUUCUCUUCCGGAUCUAGACAAGUUGAAGGCUCUGUUUUGUGCAGGUGCUGCUCUGAUGAGGAGAAACUGCUGCUGUAGAACGUCCUCCUCCCAUCCCCUACCCCCACACGUGGUGAGCUCCUAUGCAUAUGUGGAUAAUCAGGAACUAAUGUUUAAUUGA
Molecule: ribosomal RNA, 384 nt
Filed under: Triticum aestivum (bread wheat)
Lineage: Eukaryota; Viridiplantae; Streptophyta; Magnoliopsida; Poales; Poaceae
Description: partial small subunit ribosomal RNA
Source: RNAcentral